RNAcentral lists this ribosomal RNA (503 nucleotides) under uncultured Desulfobulbus sp. RNAcentral describes it as "bacterial SSU rRNA". It matches the Rfam family "Bacterial small subunit ribosomal RNA", at positions 903 to 1382 of the family's 1533-position model. Lineage: Bacteria; Pseudomonadati; Thermodesulfobacteriota; Desulfobulbia; Desulfobulbales; Desulfobulbaceae. The record is from RNAcentral.
GCCAGCCCGCUCAAGAACUCAAAUGAAUUGACGGGGCCCGCACAAGCGGUGGAGUAUGUGGUUAAUUCGAUGCAACGCGAAGAACCUUACCUGGUCUUGACAUCCCGGAGACCCUUAGGAAACUAGGGGGUGCUUCCAUCUGGAAGAAUCUGGAGACAGGUGCUGCAUGGCUGUCGUCAGCUCGUGUCGUGAGAUGUUGGGUUAAGUCCCGCAACGAGCGCAACCCUUGCCUUUAGUUGCCAGCAGUUCGGCUGGGCACUCUAAAGGGACUGCCGGUGUUAAACCGGAGGAAGGUGGGGAUGACGUCAAGUCCUCAUGGCCUUUAUGACCAGGGCUACACACGUACUACAAUGGCCGAUACAAAGGGCAGCGACACUGCGAGGUGAAGCCAAUCCCGUAAAAUCGGUCUCAGUCCGGAUUGGAGUCUGCAACUCGACUCCAUGAAGUUGGAAUCGCUAGUAAUCGUGGAUCAGCAUGCCACGGUGAAUACGUUCCCGGGCCUU